GAAGCUUGCUUCUCUGAUGUUAGCGGCGGACGGGUGAGUAACACGUGGAUAACCUACCUAUAAGACUGGGAUAACUUCGGGAAACCGGAGCUAAUACCGGAUAAUAUUUUGAACCGCAUGGUUCAAAAGUGAAAGACGGUCUUGCUGUCACUUAUAGAUGGAUCCGCGCUGCAUUAGCUAGUUGGUAAGGUAACGGCUUACCAAGGCAACGAUGCAUAGCCGACCUGAGAGGGUGAUCGGCCACACUGGAACUGAGACACGGUCCAGACUCCUACGGGAGGCAGCAGUAGGGAAUCUUCCGCAAUGGGCGAAAGCCUGACGGAGCAACGCCGCGUGAGUGAUGAAGGUCUUCGGAUCGUAAAACUCUGUUAUUAGGGAAGAACAUAUGUGUAAGUAACUGUGCACAUCUUGACGGUACCUAAUCAGAAAGCCACGGCUAACUACGUGCCAGCAGCCGCGGUAAUACGUAGGUGGCAAGCGUUAUCCGGAAUUAUUGGGCGUAAAGCGCGCGUAGGCGGUUUUUUAAGUCUGAUGUGAAAGCCCACGGCUCAACCGUGGAGGGUCAUUGGAAACUGGAAAACUUGAGUGCAGAAGAGGAAAGUGGAAUUCCAUGUGUAGCGGUGAAAUGCGCAGAGAUAUGGAGGAACACCAGUGGCGAAGGCGACUUUCUGGUCUGUAACUGACGCUGAUGUGCGAAAGCGUGGGGAUCAAACAGGAUUAGAUACCCUGGUAGUCCACGCCGUAAACGAUGAGUGCUAAGUGUUAGGGGGUUUCCGCCCCUUAGUGCUGCAGCUAACGCAUUAAGCACUCCGCCUGGGGAGUACGACCGCAAGGUUGAAACUCAAAGGAAUUGACGGGGACCCGCACAAGCGGUGGAGCAUGUGGUUUAAUUCGAAGCAACGCGAAGAACCUUACCAAAUCUUGACAUCCUUUGACAACUCUAGAGAUAGAGCCUUCCCCUUCGGGGGACAAAGUGACAGGUGGUGCAUGGUUGUCGUCAGCUCGUGUCGUGAGAUGUUGGGUUAAGUCCCGCAACGAGCGCAACCCUUAAGCUUAGUUGCCAUCAUUAAGUUGGGCACUCUAAGUUGACUGCCGGUGACAAACCGGAGGAAGGUGGGGAUGACGUCAAAUCAUCAUGCCCCUUAUGAUUUGGGCUACACACGUGCUACAAUGGACAAUACAAAGGGCAGCGAAACCGCGAGGUCAAGCAAAUCCCAUAAAGUUGUUCUCAGUUCGGAUUGUAGUCUGCAACUCGACUACAUGAAGCUGGAAUCGCUAGUAAUCGUAGAUCAGCAUGCUACGGUGAAUACGUUCCCGGGUCUUGUACACACCGCCCGUCACACCACGAGAGUUUGUAACACCCGAAGCCGGUGGAGUAACCUUUUAGGAGCUAGCCGUCGAAGGUGGGACAAAUGAUUGGGGUGAAGUCGUAACAAGGUAGCCGUAUCGGAAGGUGCGGCUGGAUCACCU
Molecule: ribosomal RNA, 1470 nt
Filed under: Staphylococcus aureus
Lineage: Bacteria; Bacillati; Bacillota; Bacilli; Caryophanales; Staphylococcaceae
Also listed under: 2 other names
Description: bacterial SSU rRNA
Rfam family: Bacterial small subunit ribosomal RNA
Source: RNAcentral